UUUAUGGAGAGUUUGAUCCUGGCUCAGGAUGAACGCUGGCGGCGUGCCUAAUACAUGCAAGUCGAGCGAACAGAUAAGGAGCUUGCUCCUUUGACGUUAGCGGCGGACGGGUGAGUAACACGUGGAUAACCUACCUAUAAGACUGGGAUAACUUCGGGAAACCGGAGCUAAUACCGGAUAACAUAUUGAACCGCAUGGUUCUAUAGUGAAAGGCGGCUUUGCU
Molecule: ribosomal RNA, 223 nt
Filed under: Streptococcus suis
Lineage: Bacteria; Bacillati; Bacillota; Bacilli; Lactobacillales; Streptococcaceae
Description: partial 16S ribosomal RNA
Rfam family: Bacterial small subunit ribosomal RNA
Source: RNAcentral